GACAGAGGCCUCGAGCGUUAGGCGGAAUCACUGGGCUUAAAGCGCGUGUAGGCGGAUCGUUAAGUGCCUUGUGAAAUCCUGCGGCUCAACCGCAGAACCGCUGGGCAUACUGGCGGUCUUGGGCCACUCAGGGGUCACUGGAACAAGCGGUGGAGCGGUGAAAUGCGUAGAUAUCUGGAGGAACACCGGUGGCGAAGGCGGCAUCCUGGACCAACACUGACGCUGAUGAGCGAAAGCCAGGGGAGCAAACGGG
Molecule: ribosomal RNA, 253 nt
Filed under: uncultured bacterium
Lineage: Bacteria
Description: partial 16S ribosomal RNA
Rfam family: Bacterial small subunit ribosomal RNA
Source: RNAcentral